CCCUGAUGCCAGCCGAGUCGAGUCCAGACGUUCCCCCUCCUGGAGCGCUGCCCCACAGACGGGCGGAGCGACCGUGACCUCUGCGUCUCCACCAGCAGCAGCGUCUGUGGGGGGACGCACCCCUCCUGCUGCCGCAGCAUGACCGGGUCAAAGGUUACACUUCUGGACCGGCUCCUCUGGUCUACCAACACCUGAGAGAAGCUACAGGUAGACGGGAGACGACAUGAUACUGGGUUCCAUUAGCUCAUCCGGUUUCCUCUUUUUGGACCCAAAAGAAAUGAAUUAAUGAACUAAUGAAAGAUUCACAUGAAAGUUCUGUUGUGAGCAG
Molecule: long non-coding RNA, 328 nt
Organism: Gasterosteus aculeatus aculeatus (three-spined stickleback)
Lineage: Eukaryota; Metazoa; Chordata; Actinopteri; Perciformes; Gasterosteidae
Source: Ensembl